AGAGAAACAAAUAAGGAAAGUUAGAAUAGGCCUCUUUCUCCUCAUCUCAUUUCUGGUAUGGUUAAGAGGAUUAGGUUGCAAAAUUCUUUUUUGCAUAAACUGGAUGAUAGGAAAUGAAGAAGAGACAGUUAAUGAAAUUUUAACAGAGACCCCUCCAUAGAUGGGAUUGACCGCAGACUACAGCCAUUCCAACGAACUUUGAAAAAUGCAGUACAAAGAGAUUAACCAUUGAUGACACAUAGCAACAUAAUUAUAUUAUGGAUUUUCUUUCUGUCAGGACUCAUGAUGUAGUAAUUUCCUGCUGGUAACAUGGUGACUCCAUGUAUUACUUGGGGUUCCCCUCUGUCAGCUGGGGCCAGAAUUAGUGGACCCAUGCUGGCCAAUGAGCUGUAUACAGUGGCGUCUCUAGGAUUCAUUUUUAGGGGGGGGGGGCACAUGGUGGGCCAGGGACUAAAGUAAGGUGGCACAUUUAACCCCGCCCUCACCGCAGUUUGACCCCAUCCCUGCCACAUGUUAAGCCCCGCCCCGACACAAUGUGUUUUUUUUUGUUUUUGUUUUUUUAAUAAUCCCUGUUGGAGAAUUCAUUAUUUUCCCCCAAGGAUUAUUAAAAAACAAACACAUUUCUCUUGAUACAGUCCAUACACACACACACACACAGACUGCUGAGUCCUUACACAAAGAGACACACAGACUGCUGACCAUACACACACAAACACAGACACAUAGACUGCUGAGUCCACACACACACACAC
Pelobates cultripes (western spadefoot toad) is the source of this 752-nucleotide non-coding RNA. The record is from the annotation of a GenBank genome assembly. NCBI's taxonomy places the organism in Eukaryota, Metazoa, Chordata, Amphibia, Anura, Pelobatidae.